UAAGCAGAGGUUUCACGAGGAUCGUGUUAAAAAAAAAGGGCUAAUAAUAAGUGACUGGUGCAGCUUUGAGGUUGCUACUACUGGUAUGUAUAUUACAGUACUCGGUUCGAUGACUCGAGAGAGAUGAGAAUGUAAAUAUGUCCGUCUUCCAAUGUAACUAUAGGGUUUAAGCACCCUUAAAUAAGUGAAUGAACCUUGUUUAAGCUUUUCUACUGCUUGAGCUUAUCAAAUGCACUUCACAAUUUGGUUACCUGGUUUUCUACUUGCAAAAUUGCAUUGAGUAGAAUGUUCAAGGUUUUCAUAUGGAUAUAGGUUGGCUUGGUAGAACACGGGGUAGCAAUUAGAUCAACUUGGGGAAGAAGCAGGCAUGAACAGUUUCGUUCUGUAGGCUGUAGCUUCUUAGAUCUGUAACAUUGGCCUCAGCUCAAAGACAAGGGCUGCUGAGUUCUCAUUCUUGAGAUAUAUAUAGGUUACUUGUUCAAGAAAUGUAAUGCGCCUUUGAGUGCCCUUGGAGCCUAAUACUACUGGUUUCUGGUUUGGUUCGCUUGCUGUCUCUUUGUUUGAGACAAUAUGAAAGAUUGGAGCAGCUACUUGACAGGGAUGCUAGGCACAAUUUGAGAAAAAUGGACCAAUAUGAAGUCGAUAGAAAACUUCAGAGAUGCAUAGAUCAAGAUCGUAACCCAAAUGAGGUGCAAUAGAUCAAGAUCGUAACCCAAAUGAUCCACAUUUUCGACAGUUCUUACAAUUUGCUUGCUGACCUGCUGGAGUAUAACAAUGGAUUAUAACAACAACAAAAAACCAUGUAAGUGGCCUAGCGGUCAAGUCGUCAAGUAGGGUACCCACAAAGUCACAAAUCCGAAUUCGGUUCAUGAAGCUGUCAAAGUAGGCAAGCAUUAUGUUGCAAUAUAUUCGUAGUUCAUUCAUAGUCGAGUAUUCAACAGGCGUCUGAGGAUUAAAUCCUACAUUUAGGAUACCUUUAGAUCACCUAACACAAUCAAAAUGAAACGAACAAACAAUAAACGUCACUAACUGGAGAUUCAUUACAAUCAUGAUUGACAAGAUUAAUUCCACAUUUGAACCCACGCCCUAUACCGAUUUGAAUAAUUAAACUGAUUUUAAUUCUAAUAUUAUAUAGUAAGUAAACAAUAUCAUUUGUUAAUAGUUACGUUUCUAUUCUGAUUUCAUAUGAUAAGUAAGCAGUUGAAUGGAAAUGAAAUAUUUUCAUACCGAUUUUUUAUGUCUCUUAUUUUUUUUUUUGAUACUGAGAGACUGAUACUGAUUCGUGAUAUUUUUUCUUUUAAAUUAAUGAAAUUGUCACAAGAGUGGGUAGCCUUCCACGUGGCACAAAUUUCUUGACUCUACAAAAACACCGACACACCUCACGAGGAGUCCAUGAAAGCCUUUCUUCUCCACACUGCUUCUCUCCCUCUGUUUUCGUACACUCCCAAACCUCCAAAUCCCCCCAAAUUCCCAAAACCCUAGCCGCCGCAAUGCCUACGCCGACACCGGCGAAGCGUUCCCGGAUUUGCAACUCGCCGAGCUCCGGAGAUACCGGCGUGAUCCGCCAGCUCCCGCCGAAAGCGCCGGAGCCGUCCGAUCGCCGCUGCGCUGCUUUCGGAAUUGUCGCCAAGCCUGUGAAGCCGUCGCCGAAGGAAACGCACAGAGAGCAGCCAUCGCCGGCGAUUUUGAUGGUGUCGUCGCCGGAGAUUGUGAGAGGGGAGCCAGCGGCGGCGUGUGUCGAUCAGUUCCUUGACGAAUGCUACUUUUGCCAGAAGAAGAUCCCUCAAAACAGUGAUGUGUUCAUGUACGGGUGAGGCUCCUUCACUAAAUUACGCCUCUGAUUUUGUUCUCGAAUUAUUUAAGUAAUUGUUUUACUCAGUUUCACUGCUUGGUUGGUAACAAAUAAAUUUAUAUUACAAAAAUUUAGUGAGAUUUGAUCUGUAAAUGCAGACUAUUUGGUGCAUUUUGUUCGGAAGUGUGCCGAUUCCAGCAAAUUUACAAGGACAAGGUAGCAGAGCAAGCACUUGUUAAAUCGACUAGAACCGCCGUCACCGGUGCCAAGAGCAAUGUGAAUGGAUGAUGAGUAGGUAGCUAGAGAGACCAAGUUGGCGGCGCAUGGCUAUCAUAUUUUAGAGAUUGUCCUGCGCUUUUGGUUGUUAUAUUUGUAAGUAGUUUGCUUUGAAAUCUCCUCUUUUGGUUCAUCAGUGGGUUAUAUAGUAGUAACUAGCUCCAUUUAGGAUCAGAAAUAAGAAUUCUAUUACAUAUUUUGUUUCGGCAUUGAAACGGAGUAGCGAGGUUGUGGUACAGUUGUUCCGAGAUACAAAUUAUAUUAAUGAUAAGAAUCGUAAACAUGUGCAAAACAUAGCCUGGCUUCUUUCAUUGUAGUUUGUUUGUUAUUUUCUUUCUUCUCUGCAACUUUAGGUCUUACAACUAGAUGCUUUUGUCUUUUGGUUUUCCAUUGUCUUGAUAUAUGCAAAUAGUUUGAAUCUGGAGAAGGUGAUUGGUGCUCUUCAGCAAACAAGUCUGUUAUUCUGUACUGUGAAUUUUCUGUUUAAAAAGGGAUGGUUAACGUGGAUGACCAAAUUACUCUGAUUAGAAUCAUUUCAUGGUUGCCAUUUUGUCUCGCAUGUUUUCCUCUUGAAGGGAGCAUUACUUUGUUUAUCUCCCUACCAGAGUGACCAGCUAUCAUAUUUGUAUCUCAUGAGAAUCUGGAUACAUCUCACCAACUUAUAAGGCCAUUGCUAGUAAUCAUUAGCAGCUUGUUGAUUAGAACCUAUUUCUUUGUGCUUAAUUCCUUUGUUUUACGCCCUGUACACUGUAGUAGUGUUCUGGUUUGAACCUACGGAUAAUAUUGACAAGUGCAUAUGAGCUGGUCCUUUAGGCCGUUCUUCCAAUGAAAACUAACCUUGAUAUUGCUAACUCAUUCAACAUUUUAAGUUUAUAUUCAUCCAGAAGUCCUUAUUCACCUACAUACCCAUAUGAGCAAACUUUAACUUCAGCCUUGAUAUUUUACGUUGUACAUAAACUGGAAUAUAGAUUGCAGAACAAGAAUGAAUGAAAUUCCACCAAAAACUUACAGGUUACAGGCAUAUGAUGUUACAGAAUAAACUUGUUACUGAAAUGAUUCUGAAUCCUUGAGAAUGUGGUCUACAUAUGACUCACACUUCUACAACUGUACUAUGUAUUGUAAAUCUCAUGUGUUUUCUUCUUUUAUUUUUGGCAAGCAAUCUCAUGUGUAUUAAGUAGUCAAUAACGGAGACAUGAGUUUGGCCUUGAUUUGAAAUGUGAAUGAAUUUGGGUAGGUGCUAGAACAUGCAGUUAUUUUUAUAACUUGAGCAGUUAGGUGUGUAGUCAAGAGCUUGCUGGUAUUGUAACUACUGUGAAUGUGCUAUAUAAAUUUGGGGAAGACAUUUUGGUGUUUAUAGUUGUCACUGUUAGGAAACCGUCUUUUUCUUUUACCUGAGACAGUUCUAAAAUGAUGUCUAGCUUGUAAUUUGCUCAACUAGCAGGAUCAUGUCUCACUAAUUCUUAGUCGAUGAACUACUGUCAUGUGCAGUUAGGUCCAUGAUGUUACAUUAGUAGCAACAUAUUUAUACAUCUUGGCAUGUUGUCGAGUUUUGGGUCGAAUAGUAAAUAUAAAUCGGCUGUUGGUGGGGAGAAACAGGCAGACUGAAUCAAGUACCCAGAAUGAGUGAAUUUAGGGGAUACCUAUGUUUAUGCGAUGAACUUAAUGCUACCAUCAUAUCACUGCAUUAUUCAGUAGCUUUUCGACCAUGCUUGAAUUUCAUGUCUGCUGUUACCUCUAGUAAAACUUUGCUUUUGUAACUACCUACCUGAUUUCCAGGAGUACCGAGUUACAAGAUACGACUCUCUUGUUCUCUUUUCAUCUACAACCCGCUGCCCAUUAAAGACUUUUCUUCUGCAUGAGGGCUCGAGCAAGGAACUUAAUUUUGGAAACAUGAGCAAAUGCUAGUAAUUGUUUCAAUGGUUUCUAACCCGAGUAUAGUAUUAGGCUAUCUGCUGCAACUAUAAUGGAUACGUGACAACCACUAUAUUAAUCAUCAGAGUACAAAAUCUAACAUCGUUGAGUGAUGGGUUGUAGGGUUGUGCCUUCUUUUUAUGGAGCAAAGAUCUGACUGAAACUGUGACAAACCUUGAAAAGGGUAUUCAAAGUUGAAUACUUCACCACAAGAUGGACAAAUAUGAAUUCUCUGCUCGGGUUGUCGAUGCUUUAAUGUGCAUCUAUUGCCUUCGAUUUAUGCUAGCAUGUAAUGCCUAGUUGCGGGAUACAAUUAGAAAAACUGCGAGUCACACUUCGAUGUGGGACUACCAAGUCUGAUGUUUAUAAACUAUGCAAGCUGCCUACGAGUCUCAACCAUUUUCCGCACAAUCAGAUUGGCCUAACAUGCAAGUCACUUACUGAUGUGUACCUUGAUCGAGAAUUCUUGAUCCAAACAUCUGAUACAUGAACUGAAUUUAUCACUGCAUAAACUGAAGCAAUCCCUCGAAUAAAGGGGUUGGAAUUCCUGAGAACAAAAGCAAGGUUACAUUAUUUGAUAUUCCUCCACUUUGUUCCUACAUGUCCAAAGAAAACGUUUGAGAGCUACGUGCUGCUACAAUAGCCCGGAACGCGAGCCAUAAGAAGUAACAAAUUGGUUUUUCAAUAGGAGUACAACAUGUGAUCAAUCGUAGAAUUACAUAUUUACAAACUAGUUUGAUUACAUAUAAUCGGCCUUAACUUAUAGAAUCUUUAGAGUUUUGAUGUAAUAUUGAAGAGGAUUCUAUGAAGAAGGCAAAGGCAUAAGAAAUUUAGAACCACUAAGGUCUACCGGGUCAUGUUGCCUCGCAGACUUGGACAUUCCAAUUGCCAAAGGAACCUAAUUAACAUAAGUAAAGCAUUUUAUGAACCACAGCAACACUAUCAUUCAAACUUCAUAUUUUCUGCUUCGUUCCUAAUGGUAUCGAAGAGUGGCGAAAACAGGUAACACUCUCCAGAACUGGCAAUCACAACAUGCAUGCACAAGCAGAAGAGUUUAGAGACGAGAGAUUUUUUUCAGUUCUUAUUUAUUAGACAAGAUUUUCAUAUAUAAGAAAUUCUUCUGUACAAGUAGAGCUCAAGCAAGGAGAUCGAAUAACUACUUUGGGUUAGACAUGAGCAAAUACUAGCAAUUGUUUCAAUGGCUUUUAACCCGUGUAUGGUAUUUGCUGCUACUAUUAUAGAUACGUGACAAACGCUAUAUGACCCAUCAAACGUACACUGCAAACUCUAGCGUGAGUGAUGGGUUGUAGAGUUGUGCCUUCUAGUUAUGGAGCAAAGAUUUAUGAUUGAAACUAGCCGUGACGAAACAUUAAAGGAUUAUUCAGGUUUGAAUACUUCAUCACAAUAAGAUGGACACAAAUAUGGAUUCUCUGCUCGGGUUGUCGAUGCUUGAAUGUGCAUCGUGCAAUUUUGACCUUCAAUUUAAACCCAGACAUGUAUGUUCAGUCGUGGCGGGAUACUAAAAAGAAACCGUAUGCCUAGCUCACAAUUAUGUCGUCAAAUAUUACAUUGUUAAGAAGAAAACUGUGACUCCAAUGCAUGUUUAAUUUUCUCCACCAAAGUGCUAGUAAUCCGCGAAAGAAUUAAAGGCCUGGUGUAUGCCUACAUUGUUAAGAAGAAAAUAAAAGCAUGACAUUACAAGCAUUCUUCAUAUAAGUUACGUAGCAGGAAGACAUGUACAAUAUUGUUCUCCCACAACCUUUUUGAAUAAUGUACAUAGGCUACUCAUAUUUUGCUUGUUUCUAAAGGAUAAUAACUAGAAACUCUAGUUUUAACUCCCAUCGACUUUUGCAAUGCUCUUCUCUUUUCUAAACAAUUAUAUUGUUAUAUUAAUUCUAUCAACUUGAACAACUAGUUAUUUGUGAGUCGAACACUCAAUCUACUUUUUACAUAUUGUAAUUCUAUGUCGCUCAACAAAAUGGUAUUGGGCAUGGAAAUGAUUUUUUAUUAUUGAUAAUCUUAUAUUCUUAUUUUUAGGUACAUUCAAUUAUUGUUAUAUAUCUCUUGCUAUAUAUGUAUACUCUGAAUUUAAAAUAUAUACAAAUCCACUAAGGAAUUGACCCAUUGGACCUGAUAAUAAAAGUCACGAGCUAAAUUUGUGUCAAAAGAAUUGAAAGAUUGAUUGAACACAUGAAUAUAUAUUGAAUGUGAUUUUCGUCUGAAUGGUAUACAAACUUUUGCUUCUUAUAAACUUUGGUAUAUCGAGUUUUAAAAAUAUCAUAACAGUAUCUCAUGUUUCCAUCCCGACCUAAGAUUGAUAUAUGUAAUCAUUAAGAUGACCAAUUUACUCUUAAGUUCUCUUUUUUUCUUAGUUUUUUUUUAUUUGUUUUCAUAUUCCAGAAAUAUCAGAAGAGGUAGUGGAAUUUGAUGAUUUAGGUUGACCUUUAUAAACUUGAAGAAGAUUGAAGAAGGGAAACAUACAAAAGUUUAAUCUUUGUUGUUUCCACUGACACUCAAGGAUCUUGUUGUUGUCGUUGACAUUCAAAAUAUACAGAAGUUUAAUCUUUGUUGUUUCCGCUGACACUCAAGGAUCUUGUUGUUGUCGUUGACAUUUAAGGAUGAUUGAGAUGAAUAGCUGAUUAUUAGCUAGGAGAAAGUGACGAUGAAUUUUUUUCUCUACGUUCUUAAAAAUUAUAAAAGCCAAUAAAAAAAAUUGGAAUAAGAAAACAAAGAAGUAAAACUAAGAAAAAAAA
Molecule: long non-coding RNA, 6732 nt
Filed under: Fragaria vesca (wild strawberry)
Lineage: Eukaryota; Viridiplantae; Streptophyta; Magnoliopsida; Rosales; Rosaceae
Description: long non-coding RNA (FVES_LNC000741)
Source: RNAcentral